AGAGUUUGAUCCUGGCUCAGAUUGAACGCUGGCGGCAGGCCUAACACAUGCAAGUCGAGCGGUAACACAGGGAGCUUGCUCCUGGGUGACGAGCGGCGGACGGGUGAGUAAUGUCUGGGAAACUGCCCGAUGGAGGGGGAUAACUACUGGAAACGGUAGCUAAUACCGCAUAAUGUCGCAAGACCAAAGAGGGGGACCUUCGGGCCUUGCGCGAUUGGAUAUGCCCAGGUGGGAUUAGCUAGUUGGUGAGGUAAUGGCUCACCAAGGCGACGAUCCCUAGCUGGUCUGAGAGGAUGAUCAGCCACACUGGAACUGAGACACGGUCCAGACUCCUACGGGAGGCAGCAGUGGGGAAUAUUGCACAAUGGGCGCAAGCCUGAUGCAGCCAUGCCGCGUGUAUGAAGAAGGCCUUCGGGUUGUAAAGUACUUUCAGCGAGGAGGAAGGCGUUGUGGUUAAUAACCGCAACGAUUGACGUUACUCGCAGAAGAAGCACCGGCUAACUCCGUGCCAGCAGCCGCGGUAAUUC
RNAcentral lists this ribosomal RNA (527 nucleotides) under uncultured bacterium. RNAcentral's name for it is "bacterial SSU rRNA". It matches the Rfam family "Bacterial small subunit ribosomal RNA", at positions 8 to 526 of the family's 1533-position model. The record is from RNAcentral.